GUAGUUGAGUCAUGAACAAAGAAGUGACACAAAUGUUAUUCUGCAAUAAUCAAGUAACCAUUCUCCUGCCACUGAGCCGUUACUCCUGUUUCAACGCAGAGGAUACUCAUUAUCUAGUAUGUGAAAGUAGAAUGGGAAGGAAGCCUGAACAUCUCAAACAGAUAAACUUGCCAUCAAUUUUUGCACAUCCAGCCAAACAGAAGAGUGACAGUGUGCAUGUUUGGAUGAAUAAUCAGCAUUGCCUGAAGGUACAGGACUCAUGGAAGCCAUUGCCUGCAAGUGAAAGUCAUGAUGCUUAA
This 299-nucleotide long non-coding RNA is filed under the name Coturnix japonica (Japanese quail). Its description in RNAcentral is "lncRNA (ENSCJPG00005003405.1)". Lineage: Eukaryota; Metazoa; Chordata; Aves; Galliformes; Phasianidae. The record is from RNAcentral.